This 714-nucleotide ribosomal RNA is filed under the name uncultured bacterium. RNAcentral's name for it is "bacterial SSU rRNA". It matches the Rfam family "Bacterial small subunit ribosomal RNA", at positions 60 to 783 of the family's 1533-position model. The record is from RNAcentral.
GGUCGAGCGGAGAAUGCAGAAAUGUUUACAUGGAAGCGUUCUUAGCGGCGGACGGGUGAGUAACACGUGGGUAACCUGCCUCAAAGUGGAGGAUAGCCUUCCGAAAGGAAGAUUAAUACCGCAUAAGCCUACAGUGCCGCAUGGCACCGUAGGAAAAGGAGCAAUCCGCUUUGAGAUGGACCCGCGGCGCAUUAGCUAGUUGGUGAGGUAACGGCUCACCAAGGCGACGAUGCGUAGCCGACCUGAGAGGGUGAUCGGCCACAUUGGAACUGAGACACGGUCCAGACUCCUACGGGAGGCAGCAGUGGGGAAUAUUGCACAAUGGGCGAAAGCCUGAUGCAGCAACGCCGCGUGAGUGAUGAAGGCCUUCGGGUCGUAAAGCUCUUUGAUCAGGGAUGAUAAUGACAGUACCUGAAAAACAAGCCACGGCUAACUACGUGCCAGCAGCCGCGGUAAUACGUAGGUGGCGAGCGUUGUCCGGAAUUACUGGGCGUAAAGGAUGCGUAGGUGGAUACUUAAGUGGGAUGUGAAAUCCCCGGGCUCAACCCGGGAACUGCAUUCCAAACUGGGUAUCUAGAGUGCAGGAGAGGAAAGCGGAAUUCCUAGUGUAGCGGUGAAAUGCGUAGAUAUUAGAGGAACACCAGUGGCGAAAGCGGCUUUCUGGACUGUAACUGACACUGAGGCAUGAAAGCGUGGGUAGCAACAGGAUUAGAU